RNAcentral lists this long non-coding RNA (3422 nucleotides) under Selaginella moellendorffii. RNAcentral describes it as "long non-coding RNA (SMOE_LNC001208)". The record is from RNAcentral. Lineage: Eukaryota; Viridiplantae; Streptophyta; Lycopodiopsida; Selaginellales; Selaginellaceae.
CCAAGUUCAGGUUCACUCGUGGCAGCUUCCGUCUUGCCACCCUGUGGAGGCUAUGUGUGUUCCCGUUGGCUCCUCGCUUCCUCGACCUUUUGUUUACGUUGCUGCUGGCCGGAACGAGGUUGCUGUUUGGAACGUGGAAAACGGGAACUGCCAACAGGUACUUCGCUAAUCUCGUCCUUGUUCUUUUGUUCACGCUUUGGAGUUUUGCAGAUUUUAAAGUCAGGCGUGCAGUCCAACGGGACAAGCUUCGUUGCAAAUCUCCAACCGUGGGGCCGAAGGACAGGCCCAAAGCAGCAACACCAGGAAGCAUCCAAGCUCUCGGACUACAAAGUCGAGGAGCUGAGCGAUCCUCCUCCGAGGAUUCCAGGCGUUCGAGCUUUGCUACCGACAACGGCAGGAGCCUCGGUUAUAACUGGAGGGACCGACUGUAGAAUUCGUUUGUGGGAUCACUUGAGGUUCGUGGUUUCUCUUCAAUUUGCUUUGCUCUACAAACUAUGACAACUGUGUGGAUUGGAUUUGCAGGCCGGAGGCUAGCUACUGCAUCUGCGGUCCUACAGUGAAGAACGCUCCUCCUUUCCGGUAUUCCUCCAAAACCGUUUGUGGACUACACAUCACUCAGGUACUGUAGGAAAAGGUUUGAGGAUUUGUCUCGAUUGAUGGAGGUAAUGGCAGGAAUCGAUGCACGAAAAUGUGCAAAGCGAGGUCGCCUUGGCUGCGGUUGAUAUGGCUGGGUGUCACCGAGACUCCAUUACCAGCUUGGCUGCGGCUAGUCAGCUGCUAAUAUCGAGUAGUAGAGAUGGUACGAUCAAAGUAUGGAAGUAAAGCUUAUUAGUUUUCAAUUCCACCGUACAAACUGUUCCACUGCCAUAGCGUGAAUGGAAAUCUAAAAUCUAACACACAACUUGGACCUUAUUCCAGUUCCAACUUAGCUAAAGGCAACAUAAAUACGAACUACUUAGCUAAAGGCAACAUAAAUCUGACCUGAAAUAUAAUUUGUUCUUUUAACCUUGCUUCUUUGCUCACACUUAAGAUUCACAUUCCAGUUUUCGAGAUUCAUGGCCGUGCUGUGAAGCUGGGAGUAAAUGUAUAGGCCCGAACGUCUGGAAAGCGUUUUUUUGCCAAGUAUGAGAGCUCCUCAUCCGAGUGGCUAGAACACUCCCACUUCUUGUCCACCAGAUGAAACGCUAACAGAGGAUACAUGCGGCUGGAGACCACAAUCACAUCACCUGCUAAAUGAGCCAUCCAGUUUUCAUUGGGACAGUCGACAUCACCAAGUGGCCAUUUGUCGCCAAUGGUUUCUCCAAGUAUUUCUCGGAUGCAACCAUGGUAGAGUGCCAGCCACUUAUCAGGCUCCUCGCCUUUCUCCAACACGCUCAAAGCAACUCUCCGGAAACCACCCUUACUUCCCUCCCUGUGAACCACUAAAAUCCUCCGGCCUUUGUACAUAAAACCCCGGAUAGGCCAGCUGAAGCAGCCAUCCUCUAGCUCCAGAAUCCUCCCAUCCCAGUCGCCUAAUGGAUUCGUACGCACCAACGGACGACUCCAUGCCAUGGCGUCGAGGUCAUAGUGGUUGUAGCCAAAAUUCCAUACAUUGCUCGGGGAUUCCCCGGCCACCCAGCUUUCCGAACCGGAAUUGUACUGUAAAAUGUAGGCAGUCUCCUCAGUGUCUCCCUCCUGGACGUUGAACACCGCAAUCCGGUAGAUCCCAGUCUCAGGAUCCACAUCCAUCGUCUCAACUUCCUCCACCUCCUCGACACACUGGAACACCUUCCAAGCGUUUGUGAGUGGAUUGCCCACAGCCAAAGAGCGUGAGCGGGGAGUGUUCUCUUUCGGCCACCCAGCAAGCGUGCCACAGACGAGCCCACUCACCGUGAAAUGGCUCACAAACAUUGGCGAGGGGACGCCAGGCGGGGCGAGGGGGAGGGCAGUGGGCUCGGGUGGCAGGCCAGAAAAUGGACGCCAUAGAAGUGCAGAUUGGCGGCCAGAGGAGCGAGUCAUCCGAACCACCCAUGCAGUGCCAGGAUGCUGCUGCUCGCGGUGGCAAUCUAAAAACGAGCGGGAGGUAAGAAUGCAGUACCAGGAGCGGCAAACCAGACGCAUCCGGGCCACAUUGUGGAGAUCCAGUCGCAGGAGGAUGCUUACCAGCAGUUCAUCCUCCCCCAGACGGUCGAAGGCGGAGCCCAUCGCCAUACUAAACCUGUGCCCUAACCGGGAUAGGUUCAUUCUAUUCCUUUUUCUUUUAAUGUAGUGAAAAUCAUUAAAUGUUGCUUUACUAGAUCUUAAUAGCUUUUACAUGAUAACAUGAUAUGUAUACCAUGUAAAAGUUAUUAAGAUCUAGCAGUUUCCAAAAGCUGGCAGCCAACGGGAGCGACUUGUCCGGACCACCUAUGCAGUGCCAGGAUGCUGCUGCCUGCUGUGGCAAUCCAGAAACGAGCGAGAGGUAAGGAUUGCAGUGCCAGGAGCGGCAGACCACUCGCAUCCCGGCGACGCUGUGGAAAUCCAGUCGCAGGAGGAUCCCCACGAGCAAUGCCCGGAUCGAUAAAAGAAAUAUCCCUUUUAUUUUGGUUAAUUAAGCUGAAAUUAUAAUAUUAAUUAAAAAUAAAUUAUUUUCAGUUAUUUAUAUUCCUUGGCCAGGGAGGACGUCCGAUCAAUCCACGCUCUCUCGCCUCUCAGAUCUUGGAGCUCGUGAUUGUGAUCCCAGGGGAUUUCUCGCUCUCGGGUUGAAAUCUUUCGUAAAUUUGCUUCAGCUCCCGGGCUCAAUCGGGGGCUGUGCAUAUCUUGCAGCUCGAAUCGGUCGCAUUCUGAAGAGGAAGCAAAGGAGAGGUGUUCUAACGCUCUGGGGCUUGAGGUUCCAAGUCCAGGUUUACUCGUCAGGGAGGCUGCUUGGCUCCUCACCUUUUGUUUACGUUGCUGCUGGCCGGAACGAGGAACGUGGAAAAUGGGAGGUACGUUCUUUGGCAAAUCAGGCGUGCAGCCCAACGGGACAAGCUUCGUUGAAAAUCUCCAACCGUGGGGCCGAAGGACAAGCUCAAAGCAGCCACACCAACUACAAAGUUGAGGAGCUGAGCGAUCCUCCUUGGAGGAUUCCAGGCGUUCGAGCUUUGCUACCGUCGACGGUAGGAUCCACUGGAGGGACACAGACUGUCACUAGAAGUUCGAGUGGUUUCUCUUCAAUUUGGUUUUGGCUCUUUCUCUUGACAAUUGUGUGGAUUGGGAUUGCAGGCCGGAGAGCAGCUACUGCAUCUGCGGUCCUACAGUGAAGAACGCUCCACCUUUCCAGUACUCGUCCAAAACGGUUUGUGGACUACGCAUCACUCAGGCACUGUACAUAAGAAAAGGUUUGAGGAUUUGUCUCGAUCGACGGGGGUAAUGGCAGCCUCCAUUACCAGCUUGGCUGCGGCUAGUCAGCUGUUAAUAUCGAG